GACGAACGCUGGCGGCGUGCCUAACACAUGCGAGUCGAACGAGGCCACCCUUCGGGGUGAGUCGAGUGGCGGACGGGUGAGUAACACGUGAGCAACCUGUCCCUGUGCGGGGGACAACCCGGGGAAACCCGGGCUAAUACCGCAUGGGCCGGAGCUUCGAGUGGAGCGCCGGGGAAAGAUGGCCUCUUUACAAUGCUAUCGCGCAGGGAGGGGUCUCGCGGGCUAUCAGCUAGUUGGUGGGGCUAAUGGCCCCACCAAGGCGGCGACGGCUACGGGGGUUCUGAGAGGACGACCCCCGCACAUUGGAACUGAGACACGGUCCAGACUCCUACGGGAGGCAGCAGUGGGGAAUAUUGGGCAAUGGGCGCAAGCCUGACCCAGCGACGCCGCGUGCGGGAGGACG
Molecule: ribosomal RNA, 403 nt
Filed under: uncultured bacterium
Lineage: Bacteria
Description: bacterial SSU rRNA
Rfam family: Bacterial small subunit ribosomal RNA
Source: RNAcentral